GACGAACGCUGGCGGCGUGCCUAAUACAUGCAAGUAGGACGCACAGUUUAUACCGUAGCUUGCUACACCAUAGACUGUGAGUUGCGAACGGGUGAGUAACGCGUAGGUAACCUACCUAUUAGAGGGGGAUAACUAUUGGAAACGAUAGCUAAUACCGCAUAACAGUAUGUAACACAUGUUAGAUGCUUGAAAGAUGCAAUUGCAUCGCUAGUAGAUGGACCUGCGUUGUAUUAGCUAGUAGGUAGGGUAAAGGCCUACCUAGGCAACGAUACAUAGCCGACCUGAGAGGGUGAUCGGCCACACUGGGACUGAGACACGGCCCAGACUCCUACGGGAGGCAGCAGUAGGGAAUCUUCGGCAAUGGGGGGAACCCUGACCGAGCAACGCCGCGUGAGUGAAGAAGGUUUUCGGACCGUAAAGCUCUGUUGUUAAGGAAGAACGAGUGUGAGAAUGGAAAGUUCAU
Molecule: ribosomal RNA, 463 nt
Filed under: Streptococcus anginosus
Lineage: Bacteria; Bacillati; Bacillota; Bacilli; Lactobacillales; Streptococcaceae
Description: bacterial SSU rRNA
Rfam family: Bacterial small subunit ribosomal RNA
Source: RNAcentral